UGGGGAAUAUUGCACAAUGGAGGGAACUCUGAUCCAGCGACGCCGCGUGAGUGAUGAAGGAAUUCGUUUCGUAAAACUCUGUUCUAUGGGAAGAAAAGGACUGUACCAUAGGAGAAAGCUCCGGCUAAAUACGUGCCAGCAGCCGCGGUAAUACGUAUGGAGCGAGCGUUGUCCGGAAUUAUUGGGCGUAAAGGGUGCGCAGGCGGCUUUACAAGUUGGAUGUGAAAUAUUGUGGCUCAACCACAAACGUGCAUCCAAAACUGCAAAGCUUGAGUUAAGGAGAGGUAAGUGGAAUUCCUGGUGUAGCGGUGGAAUGCGUAGAUAUCAGGAGGAAUACCGGUGGCGAAGGCGGCUUACUGGGCUUAAACUGACGCUCAGGCACGAAAGCGUGGGGAGCAAACAGG
This 404-nucleotide ribosomal RNA is filed under the name Fusobacteriota bacterium. RNAcentral describes it as "Fusobacteria bacterium partial 16S ribosomal RNA". It matches the Rfam family "Bacterial small subunit ribosomal RNA", at positions 355 to 776 of the family's 1533-position model. Lineage: Bacteria; Fusobacteriati; Fusobacteriota. The record is from RNAcentral.